GCGCCCGUAGCUCAGCUGGAUAGAGCGUUGGCCUCCGGAGCCAAAGGUCGAAGGUUCGAAUCCUUUCGGGCGUACCA
This 77-nucleotide transfer RNA is filed under the name Vibrio sp. RNAcentral describes it as "tRNA-Arg". It matches the Rfam family "tRNA". From Rfam's summary of the family: Transfer RNA (tRNA) molecules are approximately 80 nucleotides in length. Their secondary structure includes four short double-helical elements and three loops (D, anti-codon, and T loops). Further hydrogen bonds mediate the characteristic L-shaped molecular structure. tRNAs have two regions of fundamental functional importance: the anti-codon, which is responsible for specific mRNA codon recognition, and the 3' end, to which the tRNAs corresponding amino acid is attached (by aminoacyl-tRNA synthetases). tRNAs cope with the degeneracy of the genetic code in two manners: having more than one tRNA (with a specific anti-codon) for a particular amino acid; and 'wobble' base-pairing, i.e. permitting non-standard base-pairing at the 3rd anti-codon position. The record is from RNAcentral. RNAcentral also lists the same sequence under 35 other names. Lineage: Bacteria; Pseudomonadati; Pseudomonadota; Gammaproteobacteria; Vibrionales; Vibrionaceae.